Molecule: ribosomal RNA, 495 nt
Filed under: uncultured bacterium
Lineage: Bacteria
Description: partial 16S ribosomal RNA
Rfam family: Bacterial small subunit ribosomal RNA
Source: RNAcentral
GAUGAACGCUGGCGGCGUGCUUAACACAUGCAAGUCGAGCGAAGCGAUUUUAAGGAAGCCUUCGGGUGGAAUUAAAAUUGACUUAGCGGCGGACAGGUGAGUAACGCGUGGGUAACCUGCCUCAUACAGGGGGAUAACAGUUAGAAAUGACUGCUAAUACCGCAUAAGCGCACAGUGCUGCAUAGCACAGUGUGAAAAACUCCGGUGGUAUGAGAGGGACCCGCGUCUGACUAGGUAGUUGGUGAGGUAACGGCCCACCAAGCCGACGAUCAGUAGCCGACCUGAGAGGGUGACCGGCCACAUUGGGACUGAGACACGGCCCAAACUCCUACGGGAGGCAGCAGUGGGGAAUAUUGGACAAUGGGGGAAACCCUGAUCCAGCGACGCCGCGUGACUGAAGAAGUAUUUCGGUAUGUAAAGGUCUAUCAGCAGGGAAGAAAAUGACGGUACCUGACUAAGAAGCCCCGGCUAACUACGUGCCAGCAGCCGCCGUAA